AUUGAACGCUGGCGGCAUGCUUUACACAUGCAAGUCGAACGGAAGCGCGGGCUUCGGCCUUGCGGCGAGUGGCGAACGGGUGAGUAAUGCAUCGGAACGUGCCCGGUAGUGGGGGAUAGCCCGGCGAAAGCGGGAUUAAUACCGCAUACGACCUGAGGGUGAAAGCGGGGGACCGAAAGGCCUCGCGCUAUUGGAGCGGCCGAUGUCGGAUUAGCUAGUUGGUGGGGAAAGGCCCACCAAGGGGACGAUCCGUAGCGGGUCUGUGAGGACGAUCAGUCACAGUGGAAAUUGGACGCGGUCCAAGAUCCUACGGGAGGCAGCAGUGGGGAGUAGUGGAGAAUGGGCGGAGGCCUGAUCCAGCCAUGGCGCGUGUGUGAAGCCGGUCUUCGGAUUGUAGAGAAAUUUAAGUUGGGAGGAAGGGCAGUAAGUUAAUACCUUGCUGUUUGGACGUUAGCAAAAGAAUAAGCACAGGCUAGCUUCGUG
Molecule: ribosomal RNA, 483 nt
Filed under: uncultured bacterium
Lineage: Bacteria
Description: partial 16S ribosomal RNA
Rfam family: Bacterial small subunit ribosomal RNA
Source: RNAcentral